Molecule: transfer RNA, 65 nt
Filed under: Crenidorsum turpiniae
Lineage: Eukaryota; Metazoa; Arthropoda; Insecta; Hemiptera; Aleyrodidae
Description: tRNA-Leu
Source: RNAcentral
AUUAAAUUAUCAUAAUCAAUGUUUUAAAUUUAGAAUUUAAAAAAGGAGUAAUAAUCCAUUUAAUA